Molecule: ribosomal RNA, 253 nt
Filed under: uncultured bacterium
Lineage: Bacteria
Description: partial 16S ribosomal RNA
Rfam family: Bacterial small subunit ribosomal RNA
Source: RNAcentral
UACGUAGGGGGCAAGCGUUGUCCGGAAUCAUUGGGCGUAAAGCGCGUGUAGGCGGCCCGGUAAGUCCGCUGUGAAAGUCGGGGGCUCAACCCUCGAAUGCCGGUGGAUACUGUCGGGCUUGAGUACGGAAGAGGCGAGUGGAAUUCCUGGUGUAGCGGUGAAAUGCGUAGGUAUCUGGAGGAAUACCGGUGGCGAAGGCGGCAUCCUGGACCAUAACUGACGCUGAGGCGCGAAAGCUAGGGGAGCAAACGGG